ACUCAAAGGAAUAGACGGGGCUCCGCACAAGCAGAGGAGGAUGUGGUUUAAUAUGACGCUACGCGUAGAACCUUACCGAGGCUUGACAUCCCUGGAAGGCGCUGGAAACAGUGCUGUGCCUUCGGGAGCCAGGUGACAGGUGCUGCAUGGCCGUCGUCAGCUCGUGUCGUGAGAUGUUGGGUUAAGUCCCGCAACGAGCGCAACCCUUAUCGUAUGUUGUAUUUUUCAUGCGAGACCGCCCGGGCCAACCGGGAGGAAGGUGGGGAUGACGUCAGGUCGGCAUGGCCCUUACGCCUCGGGCCACACACGUCCUACAAUGGCCGGUACAACGCGUUGCCAAGCCGCAAGGCGGAGCUAAUCGCACCAAAACCGGUCUCAGUUCGGAUUGGGGGCUGCAACUCGCCCCCAUGAAGUCGGAUUUGCUAGUAAACGUGGGUCAGCACACCGCGUUGAAUACGUUCCCGGAGCUUGUACACACCGCCCGU
RNAcentral lists this ribosomal RNA (485 nucleotides) under uncultured bacterium. RNAcentral's name for it is "partial 16S ribosomal RNA". It matches the Rfam family "Bacterial small subunit ribosomal RNA", at positions 899 to 1397 of the family's 1533-position model. The record is from RNAcentral.